ACUCGAGUGGCGAACGGGUGAGUAACACGUGGGUGAUCUGCCCUGCACUUCGGGAUAAGCCUGGGAAACUGGGUCUAAUACCGGAUAGGAGCCAUUUUUAGUGUGAUGGUUGGAAAGUUUUUCGGUGUAGGAUGAGCUCGCGGCCUAUCAGCUUGUUGGUGGGGUAACGGCCUACCAAGGCGGCGACGGGUAGCCGGCCUGAGAGGGUGUACGGCCACAUUGGGACUGAGAUACGGCCCAG
This 241-nucleotide ribosomal RNA is filed under the name uncultured Actinomycetales bacterium. RNAcentral describes it as "partial 16S ribosomal RNA". It matches the Rfam family "Bacterial small subunit ribosomal RNA", at positions 89 to 334 of the family's 1533-position model. Lineage: Bacteria; Bacillati; Actinomycetota; Actinomycetes; Actinomycetales. The record is from RNAcentral.